This is a long non-coding RNA of Phascolarctos cinereus (koala), 534 nucleotides long. RefSeq lists it as uncharacterized. The record is from RefSeq and is a predicted model, not a curated record. Lineage: Eukaryota; Metazoa; Chordata; Mammalia; Diprotodontia; Phascolarctidae.
CCUCCUCCAUGCAGCCUUUCCUGAUCUCCCCAGUUGGAAAAUGAGGAUGCCACGAAGUUCUUGAUAUUAUUGUGAAAACAUUUUGGAAACUUUAAAAUGCCGCAUAGGAACGUGAUUCUCCAUCCUCUUCUGAGGCUGGAUUUCUGACUGCAGUCCUUGGGGUGUGCUGGCCUCUGGGCCUGGCUCGAUGGUCAUUGGAGGAAACCUCGUCAGCUCCUCCUAGUGGCCUCUAGGCCCUGCUCUGCUGGCUCCCAUCCUAUCUGCCCCUCCAGGCUUCCUCCAACAGCUACCUGGGUCCUGCUGCUCCAGGUCACCGAAACAGCAUGUGGCAGAGUGAGGACCACUCUUUCUACUACACCGAGCUGUCUCCCACGGUGGUAAGGAUGUGGUUUUACCAAAGAAACCCCAUCGGAGCUGUGCAGAAGUUAGAAGAGAAAGCUCACAUUGCUCUCCAGAUCUCCUCAGGAUUGGAAUGCAAAUGAAUCUGAGCUGUUAAAGGUGGGAUUUUAGCUGAGACUUGAAAGCAGCCAAGAG